AUUCUUUGACCCAGUCCACUCUUCUUCUAAAAUACCCAAACCCAUUUUGUUCUUCUUUAUUCCAACAGAAUGCGCAGUACGCUCGACUUCAGCAAUGGUCACCUAGAAAAGAACGAACCCAUUCCCAAAUUUUUGCCUCUUCAAUUCCCCUUUUCUCCUUCAAUUCGUACCUUUAAGCGUGCCUAGCACGAGCUCGAGGAUAACUGGAGGUUUCCAGAACGUUCCCAGCAACAUUAUCCUCUCAAUGUCCUUUCCUUUUGCCAAUUUUCGUUCAAAAAUGGUACGAAUUUGUACACUACCUAGUUGGCAAUCCUUAUCCGCUUAAGAAUUUUGAAAAAAAUGCCCAAUUCUCACAUCGUUUCCCCCCUCAAUUUCAACCCAAAAGUUGUCCUAUAUAAACUCCUCCCUUCUGCUGUUCAUAGUGGCGUUUUGAGACCUGAGAGUACCCCUAAAAAGGUUUAGGAAUUCUCGUCUUUGUAGUUUAAAAUUUUGUGGUUGCUCGAGUUGAAAGAAGUGGAAUCGUCUCCGUCAAACUCGCCGUCCAGUUCGCUGCCCCCUACCAGGUAAUCUUUUCUUUAUUUCAACAUUUUCGUUGGCUCUUAAUUAUGUCUUAUUCAUUGAAAUUUUGUUUGGCAUUAGCUGUUUAAAUAUGUUUUCAGUAGCUUAAAAAAUUGUAAAAUUGCUUAUCUUUGAAUUCGACUAAUUUAUAUGUGAGAUGGCCAAGCCUUCCUCUCGGUUAAUUAAAUUUCAGCAUUUUCUAUUGUCUAAAGAUAAGUUUAAUCAGUGUUGAGUGCAGUUAGAGUUGUGAUUUUUUUUUUGUAUUCAAGCAUUCCUAGUUGUUAGUUCGAAGUCUGUAACUUGCAUUUAUUUUUAUUUGGAAAUCUCUUGAAUACCUAGUUUUCUCUUGAUUGAUUCACUUAUCUAAGUGGUAACAAAAUUUGAAAUAUGGAGUUGUACAUUCCCAUUCAUGAUCAGUGAAAUGCUCUUCCCUUUUAUCUAAUCUUUUUAUGUGGUUAAACAUUCAUUUACAUGUUUGGGCUGUAUGUAUACCUUUGGAUUUCACAUAUCAGUAGAGUAUUAUGCAUUCCUUCCCUUGUUUACAUUCCAUCCAGUUCCCUUUUCACAAUGUGGGUACCUUACUUGCUUCUUGUGUUAAGGAUAUUAUUUGUUUUGGAAUCAUGAGUUGAUCCUAUGUUUAGUUGAGCUCUAGAUGAAGUUGAGUUUUAGUUCAACUUCUCUUUGGUUGCUCCUAAAUCCCUUAGAUCCUCAUGUCACUCCUUUGAGCUACAGAUCCUAAAUUGCGUACAUUGGCUUGGUUUGGAUUUUGUCCUAUUUGUUGAUUAUUAGUUUAAAUUUGGAUGUUACAUAUCCGUUGUUCUAUUUGAGAGUUCAUAUGUCUUGUAAUCAUGAUCUUUUAUUGGUUUGCUCAUUUUCUUAAAUGGUAGAGCUUGUUCUUCCCUUAUUUUUAUAAUUUUCAUGUCAGUUUAAAGAACUCAGCAUGUCAGCCUGAAGUACUUUGAAGUCCUCGCUAUGAUCUGUUAUUUUCGCUACCUUCAACAUAAUUAAGUUAAUACAUGUCAUUUAGUCUUAUGUGAUUUUCGUGUUAUGUUGCCUUGUUCAUUCACAGUCCUACCAGAUGUUUAAACUUAAAAUCUAAAAAGAGAUUUGAGUUUCGUACACUGAGUAGUGUUGGGUUUUGUCUUGGUGUGAUACUUGUAUGAAUCUGUUUCAAGUUCCUUAUUGGUUUGAUCAAAGUUGUAUUUAGUAGGAGGUUACUUGAUAGCAAAAUGGAUUAAGAAGGCUUUGUUUAGUUGUUGCUUUAUUUUAAGUUGUGGCUGCAUAUUGUCAUUGUUGUUUUGCUUACACUAAUUGCGAACUGCUUAUGAAAUGGUAUGUCGUUCAAGCAUUUUCGAUUACAAAAUGUGUUCCCCUGUUCAUUUACUGAUCGUAGGUGCAAAGAUAUCAACUCUUUUUUUCUUUAACAAUUUGUUGUUAAUCUAAUCUCAAAAUGACAUAAAUCUUCCAAGUGCUAUCCUUGAAUACUCUUAGAUAUUCUUUGUUGUAAUUCUAGUUCAAUAACUCUUGAUAGGAUUCUGUUUAAAUUUAACCUGCUUUUGGUAGAUUUCUUAAUUGUUGUGUUUAAAUAUGGUCAUAUGUGUCAUGUUUUAAAUUAAAUUCGUGUUGACAUUAGCUUGUCCCUUAAGCAAUGAGUUUAUACUUACUUGAUGUAGUUCUUUCUUUAGUUCAUAUUUGCGGGAUGUCAAGUCUAAACUAAAAUCUGGAAAAUCUCUAUCUUUAUUUUAUUUCGCUGAUAGAUAAUUAUAGUCAAUUGUUCAGUAUAAUUUCAGUAGUUAUAAGUAUGUCACUUAGAUUUUUGGAGCAUACAUGACAUUGUUUGCAUAGCCAGACUUCUCAUACGUUGAUUGAUUGUUUUCAGCUUUGAUUUAAUAUCAUCUUAAUAAUGUUGUUAAUCUUUCUCUCUUUUUCUUGGUGCAUGAAUACUUUCCCCUCGAGUCCUUGGACUCCUUGCUCCCUUGCAUUCUCCUCUCUUUGAGUCAACUUCCAUCAAGUCGUGACAGGGAAGCUAAUAUCAUCGGGUUAAAUUUCAAAUCAUUGGCAGCAGUUCAAUAGCAGAGUUACAACACUCCCAAAGGCUGAAAGUUGGAAAAUUUGGACAUAAAAGAAUCGAAUUCGACUGAAGUAGCAGAAGCCCCAAAGGGCUGAAAAUUUGAAGUUUUUGGACUUUCAAAAAUAAAAGUCCAAUGUUCAGCAGAUUACGGCAAUCUCGACAGCAUUGGGAAACUGGAAGUCCGGAUUAUUCACUCUUGUUUGCCCAUUUUCUUUGUUAUUAUUUAGAUGACCCCUAAUGUUUUUGUUUUUCAUAACUUGGAUGAAUCCUUUGGAGGUUUUUAAUGGCUUUCUAUUUCGUCAUCUUUAAGUAUUCAAUUUUUAAACUCUUUUAAGUUAGGCAAUCUAAGCUUUAAGACUAACUUGAGAAUUAUCCAUAUUUUUUCAUAGUUAGUAAUUAGCUUUGAAUCCACGUUGAUGAGAUUGAGCUAACCAUUUAGUUCAAAAUCUUAACUCGGAUAAAAUGUUAAGUUAAAAUUAUUGUUUUGACACUUUACGAUUUGACUUAUUUCAUUACUUGGAAUAAGAUUAGUGUAUAAGUAUUGAAAGACUUUUUGCUAUUUUAAAACAAGAUUUUUCACAAGUAAUCUUAAGUUUUCUUUUAAAAUUAGCCAACUUUUAAAUCCGUUGGUAAACCGCAUGUUAGCGGAUUCUCUAAGAUGCCUAAACCCUUCCUUAGAGAAUUAGUUAAACCCUUACUCGAC
This 3332-nucleotide long non-coding RNA is filed under the name Solanum tuberosum (potato). Its description in RNAcentral is "long non-coding RNA (STUB_LNC011644)". Lineage: Eukaryota; Viridiplantae; Streptophyta; Magnoliopsida; Solanales; Solanaceae. The record is from RNAcentral.